AAGUCCCGCAAGGGAUUAGUAGAGUGGCAAACGGGUGAGUAACACGUGGGUGACCUGCCUUCGAGUGGGGGAUAACGUCCCGAAAGGGACGCUAAUACCGCAUGAUAUGCCGCCCUUUAAGGGGUGGACAUCAAAGCUGGGGAUCGCAAGACCUAGCGCUGGAAGAGGGGCCCGCGUCCGAUUAGCUAGUUGGUGGGGUAAUGGCUCACCAAGGCAACGAUCGGUAGCCGGCCUGAGAGGGCGGACGGCCACACUGGGACUGAGACACGGCCCAGACUCCUACGGGAGGCAGCAGUGGGGAAUUGUUCGCAAUGGGCGCAAGCCUGACGACGCAACGCCGCGUGGAGGAUGAAGACCUUCGGGUCGUAAACUCCUUUCGAUCGAGACGAAUGGCCUCCGGGUGAACAAUCCGGAGGAAUGACGGUACCGAGAGAAGAAGCCCCGGCUAACUCCGUGCCAGCAGCCGCGGUAAUACGGGGGGGGCAAGCGUUGUUCGGAAUUACUGGGCGUAAAGGGCUCGUAGGUGGCCAACUAAGUCAGACGUGAAAUCCCUCGGCUUAACCGGGGAACUGCGUCUGAUACUGGAUGGCUUGAGUUUGGGAGAGGGACGCGGAAUUCCAGGUGUAGCGGUGAAAUGCGUAGAUAUCUGGAGGAACACCGGUGGCGAAGGCGGCGUCCUGGACCAAUACUGACACUGAGUGAGCGAAAGCCAGGGGAGCAAACGGGAUUAGAUACCCCGGUAGUCCUGGCCCUAAACGAUGAAUGCUUGGUGUGGCGGGUAUCGAUCCCUGCCGUGCCGAAGCUAACGCAUUAAGCAUUCCGCCUGGGGAGUACGGUCGCAAGGCUG
This 847-nucleotide ribosomal RNA is filed under the name uncultured Acidobacteriota bacterium. Its description in RNAcentral is "bacterial SSU rRNA". It matches the Rfam family "Bacterial small subunit ribosomal RNA", at positions 72 to 896 of the family's 1533-position model. The record is from RNAcentral. Lineage: Bacteria; Pseudomonadati; Acidobacteriota.